ACGCACGCUGGCGGCGCGCCUAACACAUGCAAGUCGAACGGAGCUGAGAGAAGCUUGCUUUUCUUAGCCUAGUGGCGAACGGGUGAGUAACGCGUGAGUAACCUGCCCUGGAGUGGGGGAAACAGUUGGAAACGACUGCUAAUACCGCAUAAGCCCACGAUCCGGCAUCGGAUUGAGGGAAAAGGAUUUAUUCGCUUCAGGAUGGACUCGCGUCCAAUUAGCUAGUUGGUGAGGUAACGGCCCACCAAGGCGACGAUUGGUAGCCGGACUGAGAGGUUGAACGGCCACAUUGGGACUGAGACACGGCCCAGACUCCUACGGGAGGCAGCAGUGGGGGAUAUUGCACAAUGGGGGAAACCCUGAUGCAGCGACGCCGCGUGGAGGAAGAAGGUUUUCGGAUUGUAAACUCCUGUCGUUAGGGACGAUAAUGACGGUACCUAACAAGAAAGCACCGGCUAACUACGUG
This 466-nucleotide ribosomal RNA is filed under the name uncultured bacterium. Its description in RNAcentral is "partial 16S ribosomal RNA". It matches the Rfam family "Bacterial small subunit ribosomal RNA", at positions 29 to 507 of the family's 1533-position model. The record is from RNAcentral.